UAAAAUUUGUUGUAUUUUAAGCAUAAAAAAUUUUCUUUUUUUAGGGAGCUAAACAUUAUAAUUAGCUAAUUUUAA
RNAcentral lists this transfer RNA (75 nucleotides) under Obrimoposthia wandeli. RNAcentral describes it as "tRNA-Glu". The record is from RNAcentral. Lineage: Eukaryota; Metazoa; Platyhelminthes; Tricladida; Uteriporidae.